Molecule: ribosomal RNA, 253 nt
Filed under: uncultured bacterium
Lineage: Bacteria
Description: partial 16S ribosomal RNA
Rfam family: Bacterial small subunit ribosomal RNA
Source: RNAcentral
UACGAAGGGGGCUAGCGUUGUUCGGAAUUACUGGGCGUAAAGCGCGCGCAGGCGGCUAUCCAAGUCAGUGGUGAAAGCCCGGAGCUCAACUCCGGAACUGCCAUUGAAACUGUUUAGCUGGAGUAUGAGAGAGGUGAGUGGAAUUCCCAGUGUAGAGGUGAAAUUCGUAGAUAUUGGGAAGAACACCGGUGGCGAAGGCGGCUCACUGGCUCAUAACUGACGCUGAUGCACGAAAGCUAGGGGAGCAAACAGG